This 496-nucleotide ribosomal RNA is filed under the name uncultured bacterium. RNAcentral's name for it is "bacterial SSU rRNA". It matches the Rfam family "Bacterial small subunit ribosomal RNA", at positions 30 to 509 of the family's 1533-position model. The record is from RNAcentral.
AUUGAACGCUGGCGGCAUGCUUUACACAUGCAAGUCGAACGGCAGCACGGGAGCAAUCCUGGUGACGAGUGGCGAACGGGUGAGUAAUGCAUCGGAACGUACCUUUCAGUGGGGGAUAACGUAGCGAAAGUUACGCUAAUACCGCAUAUUCUGUGAGCAGGAAAGCAGGGGAUCGCAAGACCUUGCGCUGAUUGAGCGGCCGAUGUCAGAUUAGCUAGUUGGUGAGGUAAAGGCUCACCAAGGCGACGAUCUGUAGCGGGUCUGAGAGGAUGAUCCGCCACACUGGAACUGAGACACGGUCCAGACUCCUACGGGAGGCAGCAGUGGGGAAUUUUGGACAAUGGGGGCAACCCUGAUCCAGCCAUGCCGCGUGAGUGAAGAAGGCCUCGGUUGUAAGACUCUUUCGUCCGGGUAACGGAAAUACGCAUGGUUAAGUACCCUACGUGUCGGAGUGACGGUACCGGCCGAGUAAGAAGACACCGGCUAACUACGUACG